Molecule: ribosomal RNA, 467 nt
Filed under: uncultured bacterium
Lineage: Bacteria
Description: partial 16S ribosomal RNA
Rfam family: Bacterial small subunit ribosomal RNA
Source: RNAcentral
GACGAACGCUGGCGGCGUGCUUAACACAUGCAAGUCGAACGGUAAGGCUUCUUCUUUCCGCGGUUUUCGAGUGCCGAGCACGGGAGCCUCACGUGUGUGAUCUCCCCUUUACUUCGGGAGACACCUUUUAAACUGGGUUUCUUAUCCGACAUGACAACUUUAUACAUACUUUUUUGGUUUGAUUUUUGGUGUUGGAUCAGCUCGCGAGCUAUCCGCUUUUUGUUGGGUUAAUGGUCUACCAAGGCGUCAACGGGUAGCCGGUCUGAGAGCGUGUACGGCCACAUUGGGACUGAGAUAAGGCACAGACUCGUACGGGAGGCAGAAGUGGGGAAGAUUGCACAAUGGGCGCAAGCCUGAUGCAGCGACGCCGCGUGGGGGAUGACGGCGUUCGGGUUGUAAACUCCUGUCGCGAGGGACGAAGCGAUUUUGUGACGGUACCUGGAGAAGAAGCACCGGCUAACUACGUG